CAGGCCUCUUCCUCCCUCCUGACCCAGUGGAUGCUAUCUUUGGGGUUGCUAGUGAGUGCUGCAGGCGGUUGCUCUUCUUUGCCUGACAACUACAUCCAAGGAUGUUACUGAAUGAGGUCUUUGAACGGUCCUUUUCUCAGUACAUGGUAGCAUUCAUAGCAGCCAUCAGUAAGAAACCAGGGUGCUCAUCAGCUGUGUUCAUUGUAAAGAGGUGUUCAUUCUUUUUGGUUGGCUUUGGAAAGAAAUGGAAACUGGACUGAAAAUUCACAAAGGGUGCUUUAAAAGCCCCUGCCUCCUUGACCACAUCUUCCCUCUUCCCUGCAAACGUGGUCAAACCCAAAGACAGGAACAUCAUACUCCACACCAUCCUGCAGCAGACUUGGCACCUCUGUGUGAUGAAAUCCAAAUGCUGGCUGUGGUUACAGGGCUGAGCAAAACACAGAGCAGAUGAAGAGAUACAGGUCAGUAUGUGCAUCUUCAGCUGUUUGCCAGAAUGACACGGAUCCAGAGGAAUGUUUGAACAUCAUCCAGAAAUUAUCAUUCCCAAAUAUACAUCCACAGAGACAACCCAAGAGAAUACACACCUGGUUUUUACUUAACCAAUUGCAGAAGAG
Molecule: long non-coding RNA, 614 nt
Filed under: Struthio camelus australis
Lineage: Eukaryota; Metazoa; Chordata; Aves; Struthioniformes; Struthionidae
Description: lncRNA (ENSSCUG00000005638.1)
Source: RNAcentral